CGGCACAGAGGGAAGCCAGGUGGCGACACCGCGCGGAACCCGAAAGCCGUUCUCAGUUCGGAUCGGAGUCUGCAACCCGACUCCGUGAAGCUGGAUUCGCUAGUAAUCGCGCAUCAGCCAUGGCGCGGUGAAUACGUUCCCGGGCCUUGUACACACCGCCCGUCAAGCCAUGGGAGCCGGGGGUGCUUGAAGUGCGUCGCCGCAAGGCGCGCCCUAGAGCAAAACCGGUGACUGGGGCUAAGUCGUAACAAGGUAAC
Molecule: ribosomal RNA, 257 nt
Filed under: uncultured bacterium
Lineage: Bacteria
Description: partial 16S ribosomal RNA
Rfam family: Bacterial small subunit ribosomal RNA
Source: RNAcentral